Molecule: ribosomal RNA, 450 nt
Filed under: uncultured bacterium
Lineage: Bacteria
Description: partial 16S ribosomal RNA
Rfam family: Bacterial small subunit ribosomal RNA
Source: RNAcentral
CCUACGGGUGGCUGCAGUCGAGAAUCUUCGGCAAUGAGCGCAAGCUUGACCGAGCGACGCCGCGUGUGGGAUGAAGGCCCUCGGGUUGUAAACCACUGUCGUAGGGGAGGAAGGCUCCGUGAAGAGCGGGGCUUGACCUAUCCUAGGAGGAAGUACGGGCUAAGUUCGUGCCAGCAGCCGCGGUAAGACGAACCGUACGAAGGUUAUUCGGAAUUACUGGGCUUAAAGGGUUGCUUGGUAAGCUUGUAAGGAAAGCCCUCGGCUCAACCGAGGAAUAGCGCUUGAUACUGCAAGGCUUGAGGGAGACAGGGGUAAGCGGAACUGAUGGUGGAGCGGUGAAAUGCGUUGAUAUCAUCAGGAACACCGGUGGCGAAAGCGGCUUACUGGGUCUCUUCUGACGCUGAGGAACGAAAGCUAGGGGAGCGAACGGGAUUAGAUACCCUUGUAGUC